RNAcentral lists this transfer RNA (59 nucleotides) under Pteropus alecto (black flying fox). It matches the Rfam family "tRNA", at positions 8 to 63 of the family's 71-position model. Rfam says of the family: Transfer RNA (tRNA) molecules are approximately 80 nucleotides in length. Their secondary structure includes four short double-helical elements and three loops (D, anti-codon, and T loops). The record is from Rfam by way of RNAcentral. Lineage: Eukaryota; Metazoa; Chordata; Mammalia; Chiroptera; Pteropodidae.
UAGUGUAGUGGUUAACACAUCUGCUUUGCAUGCAGAAGGUCCUUGGUUCACACCCCAUG